Molecule: ribosomal RNA, 548 nt
Filed under: eukaryotic picoplankton environmental sample
Lineage: Eukaryota
Description: SSU rRNA
Rfam family: Eukaryotic small subunit ribosomal RNA
Source: RNAcentral
CAACAAUAUUAAUUGAUGAGUUAAAAGCUCGUAGUUGGAUUUUGGUUAAGAGGGCGCGGUCGGCCGUUUGGUCUGUACUGCGUUGUCUUGACUUCCUGAUGAGGACAUGCUCUUGGUUAACGCUGAGACAUGGAGUCAUCGUGGUUACUUUGAAAAAAUUAGAGUGUUCAAAGCGGGCUUACGCUUGAAUAUAUUAGCAUGGAAUAACACUAUAGGACUCCUGUCCUAUCUCGUUGGUCUCGGGAUGGGAGUAAUGAUUAAGAGGAACAGUUGGGGGCAUUCGUAUUUCAUUGUCAGAGGUGAAAUUCUUGGAUUUAUGAAAGACGAACUUCUGCGAAAGCAUUUGCCAAGGAUGUUUUCAUUAAUCAAGAACGAAAGUUGGGGGCUCGAAGAUGAUUAGAUACCAUCCUAGUCUCAACCAUAAACGAUGCCGACUAGGGAUUGGUGGAUGUUAAUUGAUGACUUCACCAGCACCUUAUGAGAAAUCAAAGUUUUUGGGUUCCGGGGGGAGUAUGGUCGCAAGGCUGAACAGGGGGAAAAUUGAACGG